This 301-nucleotide unclassified non-coding RNA is filed under the name uncultured Sordariales. RNAcentral's name for it is "sequence contains ITS1". The stretch from base 1 to 105 matches the Rfam family "5.8S ribosomal RNA", at positions 50 to 154 of the family's 154-position model. Lineage: Eukaryota; Fungi; Ascomycota; Sordariomycetes; Sordariales. The record is from RNAcentral.
GAAAUGCGAUAAGUAAUGUGAAUUGCAGAAUUCAGUGAAUCAUCGAAUCUUUGAACGCACAUUGCGCCCGCUAGUAUUCUGGCGGGCAUGCCUGUUCGAGCGUCAUUUCAACCAUCAAGCCCUUGCUUGUGUUGGGGUCCUGCGGCUGCCCGCAGGCCCUGAAAACCAGUGGCGGGCUCGCUAGUCACUCCGAGCGCAGUAAUACAUCUCGCUCAGGGCGUGCGGCGGGUUCUUGCCGUUAAACACACCAAUUUUAUCAAAGGUUGACCUCGGAUCAGGUAGGAAUACCCGCUGAACUUAA